RNAcentral lists this small nuclear RNA (106 nucleotides) under Notamacropus eugenii (tammar wallaby). The record is from RNAcentral. Lineage: Eukaryota; Metazoa; Chordata; Mammalia; Diprotodontia; Macropodidae.
GCGCUUGCUUUGGCAGCACAUAUACUAAAAUUGGAAUGAUGCAGAGAAGAUUACCUGGCCCCUGCACAAGGAUGACAUGCAAAUUCAUAAAUUGUUCCCUAUUUUU